GGCUGGAUGGAGGUUCUUACAGGCCCUAUGGCUGGGUGGAGGGUCCUACAGGUCCUAUGGCUGGGUGGAGGGUCUUACAGGUCCUAUGGCUGGGUGGAGGGUCCUACAGGUCCUAUGGCUGGGUGGAGGGUCCUACAUGUCCUAUGGCUGGGUGGAGGUUCUUACAGGCCCUAUGGCUGGGUGGAGGGUUUUACAGGUCCUAUGGCUGGGUGGAGGGUUUUACAGGUCCUAUGGCUGGGUGGAGGUUCUUACAGGCCCUAUGGCUGGGUGGAGGUUCUUACAGGCCCUAUGGCUGGGUGGAGGGUUUUACAGGUCCUAUGGCUGGGUGGAGGGUCCUACAGGUCCUAUGGCUGGGUGGAGGGUCCUACAUGU
Molecule: long non-coding RNA, 372 nt
Filed under: Salmo salar (Atlantic salmon)
Lineage: Eukaryota; Metazoa; Chordata; Actinopteri; Salmoniformes; Salmonidae
Description: lncRNA (ENSSSAG00000087516.1)
Source: RNAcentral